Molecule: ribosomal RNA, 712 nt
Filed under: uncultured Prevotella sp.
Lineage: Bacteria; Pseudomonadati; Bacteroidota; Bacteroidia; Bacteroidales; Prevotellaceae
Description: bacterial SSU rRNA
Rfam family: Bacterial small subunit ribosomal RNA
Source: RNAcentral
GAUGAACGCUAGCUAUAGGCUUAACACAUGCAAGUCGAGGGGCAGCGAAUAGAUAGCUUGCUAUUUAUGUCGGCGACCGGCGCACGGGUGAGUAACGCGUAUCCAACCUGCCCAUAACUAAGGGAUAACCCAGCGAAAGUUGGACUAAUACCUUAUGUAUUCGUUUGAUCUCAUGAGAUUACGAAUAAAGAUUUAUCGGUUAUGGAUGGGGAUGCGUCUGAUUAGCUUGUUGGCGGGGUAACGGCCCACCAAGGCAACGAUCAGUAGGGGUUCUGAGAGGAAGGUCCCCCACAUUGGAACUGAGACACGGUCCAAACUCCUACGGGAGGCAGCAGUGAGGAAUAUUGGUCAAUGGACGCAAGUCUGAACCAGCCAAGUAGCGUGCAGGAUGACGGCCCUAUGGGUUGUAAACUGCUUUUAUAUGGGGAUAAAGUGGGGAACGUGUUCCCUUUUGCAGGUACCAUAUGAAUAAGGACCGGCUAAUUCCGUGCCAGCAGCCGCUGUAAUACGGUAGGUUCGGGCGUUAUCCGGAUUUAUUGGUUUUAAAGGGAGCGUAUGCCGUUUGGUAAGCCUGUUUGUGAAAUGUAGUAUCUCAACUUCUAGAUUGCUGCGCCUACCGUCAGACUUGAGUGUGCACAACUAGGCGGAAUUCAUGGUGUACCUCGAACUGCUUAGAUAUUAUGAACAACUUCGAUUGUCAAUGUCGCUUAUG